ACUAGAGUAGCACUCGCAUAUCAAUAAGCGGAGGAAAAGAAACUAACAAGGACUCCCCUAGUAACGGCGAGUGAAGCGGGAAGAGCUCAAAUUUGAAAUCUUAAAGGGUUUCCCUUUACGAAUUGUAGUUUAAAGAAGUGUUUUCUGUUGAGGUUUUGGUAAAAGUUCUUUGGAAUAGGACAUCAUAGAGGGUGAGAAUCCCGUAUUUGACCUUUACUUUCAACUUUGUGAUACACUUUCAAAGAGUCGGAUUGUUUGGGAAUGCAGUCCAAGAUGGGUGGUAAAUUUCAUCUAAAGCUAAAUAUUGGCGAGAGACCGAUAGCGAACAAGUACCGUGAGGGAAAGAUGAAAAGAACUUUGAAAAGAGAGUUAAACAGUACGUGAAAUUGUCAAAAGGGAAGCGUUUGACACCAGUGUUGUUUUUCUGAAAAUCAAUUAAAGAACUGUUUAUGCUAAGUUGUUUAGACUUUAUCAGCUAACUGUUUAGUUUUGAGCUUUUCUUUAAUGCACUUUUCAGUUAACAAGUCAACAUCAAUUUCUUUUGCUGUAAAAAAGCUUGAGGAAGGUGGCUUGAGAUUCGUCUUAAGUGUUUAUAGCCUCUUGCCUAUGCAGUCGGAGAGAUUGAGGUCUGCAGCGUAGAUCCUUCGGGGCUAAAUGCAUUUGUGCUAAGUUAUAGCAUUUUAUAGACAACUUGUUGACUAUGAUUUGUCUUGUAGCUUACUCGCUUAUGUUAUUUUACCUACGCUUAGGAUGUUGAGCGCAUGUCUCUCUCU
RNAcentral lists this ribosomal RNA (773 nucleotides) under uncultured Neocallimastigales. RNAcentral describes it as "partial large subunit ribosomal RNA". It matches the Rfam family "Eukaryotic large subunit ribosomal RNA", at positions 20 to 616 of the family's 3401-position model. The record is from RNAcentral. Lineage: Eukaryota; Fungi; Neocallimastigomycota; Neocallimastigomycetes; Neocallimastigales.